Molecule: non-coding RNA, 74 nt
Filed under: Humibacillus sp. DSM 29435
Lineage: Bacteria; Bacillati; Actinomycetota; Actinomycetes; Micrococcales; Intrasporangiaceae
Also listed under: 1 other name
Description: Fluoride riboswitch aptamer (crcB RNA motif)
Rfam family: Fluoride riboswitch aptamer (crcB RNA motif)
Source: Rfam by way of RNAcentral
UGAGGCUCAGGUGAUGGCGCCCGCCCGGAGCGUGAGCUUCGAACCGCAGCCCUGCUGAUGGCCCCUGUUGAUGG